GUGGCUAGCCGCUCGCUGUCUGCAAUACGCCUUCGCUACAGAUGGGGAAAUCACCCCACAGAAUGAGGGUGCAAUUAAUGCUGAACAUCCUCGGGUUUGCUGGGGUGGCCCCGCUCGCUCCGCCCUUGGACCGAUGGUUAUCCCAGUCCACUGUGGCAUUUUGCACGUUAAUAGUUACGAAUACGUUAUGGAGGCCUCUCCGCCUGUAGAACCUUGCUCUGCCUACCUUUACCUCUGCACCAUUCACACAUUCGCCUGAAGGCUGCCACGGCUGACCCUCUUACUUCGCGCUGCAGAACCCACCUUGCAACUUUACAAAGUCCCACUGGGUGUGCUGGACGACGGCUCCUACCUGAUUGCAGCUUACCGACCUAAGCGGAGCCUCCACUUCUGGGCUUUGAUAAGGGGGGCCUACAGCGGAUUGUCCCUGUUGCUGAGAACCCAGGUGGACUGACAUAUGGGAGCCACCGGCAGACCGGUAGCUGAGAGGUUCCUUGCCUUUCGUCCCCAACAGACACACACACACACACACACUCUCAUAGUACAGUCACAUUGCUUUAUCCCAAAGUACAGCAAUACCUAGGAUAUCUCAAUGUGGUAUACUAUGCAUAUGUUCUCUGAAGUUAGACUUAUACAGGC
Molecule: non-coding RNA, 639 nt
Organism: Pelobates cultripes (western spadefoot toad)
Lineage: Eukaryota; Metazoa; Chordata; Amphibia; Anura; Pelobatidae
Source: the annotation of a GenBank genome assembly